Molecule: long non-coding RNA, 874 nt
Filed under: Oryza sativa Indica Group (long-grained rice)
Lineage: Eukaryota; Viridiplantae; Streptophyta; Magnoliopsida; Poales; Poaceae
Description: lncRNA OsZS97_02G004120
Source: RNAcentral
AUGGAGUCUCUGAGGACUGGCGCGGUGGCCAACGGCAUGGAGAUGGAGAUUGGGCAAGGUGGAGAAGUUAACCUUGGCAAGCUCUCCCUUCAACUUAUUUUUCUUGAGGUUGAUAAAUCUGGGAUUUUGCCACUGAAUCUGUUCCCACCGAGAUCAAGAAAACCUAGAUUACUGAGCUUUAUCAUUAGUGCAUCGUCAAUUAUUCCUUGCAAGUGGUUAUUAGGAAAGGAGAGGUACUCCAAUGAGGUGGCUCUGAAGAGAUCAUCUGGCAGGGUCCCAAUGAUGUUGUUUUGGCCAACCCUGAGCAUUCUAAGGGAAGAGCAUUUACCUAUUCCAGGGGGGAUGCUGCCACUGAAUUGGUUUACCUGGAGAGGCCGGUCAGGUGAUGACGAAUUCAGCUCCUGCAAUUCUCCAUCCAGGCGGUUGAAGCUGACAUCAAGGACGACAAUGCUGCUGAAUAUCAGCUCUGAUGGAAGCUCACUGGAGAGUAAGUUGUAUGACAGGUUGAGUCGCGACAAGCUGGUGAGCUCGCUCAGGGAUGAUGAGAUGCACCCUUGUAGGCCUCUUGAGGCCAGUAAUAGCUCAGUUACUGCACCAUCUUCUCCACAGAUGAUCCCUUCCCAGGUGCAACAAUCUGUACUAUUCUGCCAUGACGCAGCGAGGCCACCAUCCUGCGAUAGCCUGGUGAGGAACUGGAGGAGGGAGCGCCUCUCCCUCUCGGUGCAUGAACCGACAGGUGAGAUGAAGGUGAACAGCAGCAACACAAGAACAGGGCCAAAGAAAUUUAUGCAAAACCUGCUGGUUUUGUUGCUGCACGAAAAAUGUGGUAUUGGCUUCAUGGUUUGUAUCAGUUGGAAGCUGUGACAGAAUAGCG